GUGGGGAAUCUUCCGCAAUGGGCGAAAGCCUGACGGAGCAACGCCGCGUGAGUGAUGACGGCCUUCGGGUUGUAAAACUCUGUGAUCCGGGACGAAAAGGCAGAGUGCGAAGAACAAACUGCAUUGACGGUACCGGAAAAGCAAGCCACGGCUAACUACGUGCCAGCAGCCGCGGUAAUACGUAGGUGGCAAGCGUUGUCCGGAAUUAUUGGGCGUAAAGCGCGCGCAGGCGGCUUCCCAAGUCCCUCUUAAAAGUGCGGGGCUUAACCCCGUGUUGGGAAGGAAACUGGGAAGCUGGAGUAUCGGAGAGGAAAGUGGAAUUCCUAGUGUAGCGGUGAAAUGCGUAGAGAUUAGGAAGAACACCGGUGGCGAAGGCGACUUUCUGGACGAAAACUGACGCUGAGGCGCGAAAGCGUGGGGAGCAAACAGGAUUAGAUACCCUGGUAGUCCACGCCGUAAACGAUGGAUACUAGGUGUAGGAGGUAUCGACCCCUUCUGUGCCGGAGUUAACGCAAUAAGUAUCCCGCCUGGGAAGUACGAUCGCAAGAUUA
Molecule: ribosomal RNA, 551 nt
Filed under: uncultured bacterium
Lineage: Bacteria
Description: bacterial SSU rRNA
Rfam family: Bacterial small subunit ribosomal RNA
Source: RNAcentral